RNAcentral lists this ribosomal RNA (273 nucleotides) under uncultured prokaryote. Its description in RNAcentral is "partial 16S ribosomal RNA". It matches the Rfam family "Bacterial small subunit ribosomal RNA", at positions 524 to 798 of the family's 1533-position model. The record is from RNAcentral.
UACGUAGGGGCGAGCGUUGUCCGGAAUUAUUGGGCGUAAAGGGUUCGUAGGCGGUAAUACAUGUCAGAUGUGAAAUCUUGCGGCUUAACCACAUCAAGCAUCUGAAACUGUAUAACUUGAGUGGAGGAGAGGUAAGUGGAAUUCCUAGUGUAGCGGUGAAAUGCGUAGAUAUUAGGAAGAAUACCAGUAGCGAAGGCGACUUACUGGCCUCUAACUGACGCUGAUGAACGAAAGCGUGGGUAGCAAACAGGAUUAGAUACCCGGGUAGUCCCU